UACGGGGGGGGCAAGCGUUGUUCGGCAUUACUGGGCGUAAAGCGCGCGCAGGCGGCUAUCCAAGUCAGUGGUGAAAGCCCGGAGCUCAACUCCGGAACUGCCAUUGAAACUGUUUAGCUUGAGGACGAGAGAGGUGAGUGGAAUUCCCAGUGUAGAGGUGAAAUUCGUAGAUAUUGGGAAGAACACCGGUGGCGAAGGCGGCUCACUGGCUCGUAUCUGACGCUCAGGCGCGACAGCGUGGGGAUCAAACAGG
This 253-nucleotide ribosomal RNA is filed under the name uncultured bacterium. Its description in RNAcentral is "partial 16S ribosomal RNA". It matches the Rfam family "Bacterial small subunit ribosomal RNA", at positions 524 to 776 of the family's 1533-position model. The record is from RNAcentral.